AUGAACGCUAGCGGCAGGCUUAAUACAUGCAAGGUUGAGGGGCAGCAUGAUAUACGCGAGUAUAUUGAUGGCGACCGGCGGACGGGUGAGUAAUAGGUAGGAGACCUACCUCAGUACAGGGGGAUAGCAUAGAGAAAUCUGUGGUAAUACCCCAUGAGGUUAUAUGAAUAGAGGCAUAUAAUCAAAGCAUAAGCGAUUAUGCGGUAUGAGAGGGGCCUACUGACCAUUAGCUAGUUGGUGAGGUAAGGGCUCACCAAGGCGAAGAUGGUUAGGGGUUUUGAGAGAGAGACCCCCCACAUUGGAACUGAGAGACGGUCCAGACUCCUACGGGAGGCAGCAGUAGGGAAUAUUGGGCAAUGGGCGAAAGCCUGACCCAGCCAUGCCGCGUGAAGGAAGACGGCCUUAUGGGUUGUAAACUUCUUUACUACGCGAAUAGAGGUUAGUACGAGAUACUAAUAGGAAGGUAGUGUAGUAAAAAGCACCGGCUAACUCCGUG
This 496-nucleotide ribosomal RNA is filed under the name uncultured bacterium. Its description in RNAcentral is "bacterial SSU rRNA". It matches the Rfam family "Bacterial small subunit ribosomal RNA", at positions 30 to 507 of the family's 1533-position model. The record is from RNAcentral.